Molecule: ribosomal RNA, 500 nt
Filed under: uncultured bacterium
Lineage: Bacteria
Description: partial 16S ribosomal RNA
Rfam family: Bacterial small subunit ribosomal RNA
Source: RNAcentral
AUUGAACGCUGGCGGCAUGCCUUACACAUGCAAGUCGAACGGCAGCACGGGAGCAAUCCUGGUGGCGAGUGGCGAACGGGUGAGUAAAGUAUCGGAACGUGCCCAACCGUGGGGGAUAACGUAGCGAAAGUUACGCUAAUACCGCAUACGAUCUAUGGAUGAAAGCGGGGGAUCGCAAGACCUCGCGCGAUUGGAGCGGCCGAUAUCAGAUUAGGUAGUUGGUGGGGUAAAGGCUCACCAAGCCGACGAUCUGUAGCUGGUCUGAGAGGACGACCAGCCACACUGGGACUGAGACACGGCCCAGACUCCUACGGGAGGCAGCAGUGGGGAAUUUUGGACAAUGGGCGAAAGCCUGAUCCAGCCAUGCCGCGUGCAGGAUGAAGGCCUUCGGGUUGUAAACUGCUUUUGUACGGAACGAAAAGGUUUGGCCUAAUAAGCUGAGCUCAUGACGGUACCGUAAGAAUAAGCACUGGCUAACUACGUGCCAGCCGCCGCUGUAA